RNAcentral lists this ribosomal RNA (119 nucleotides) under Moraxellaceae bacterium. Its description in RNAcentral is "partial 16S ribosomal RNA". It matches the Rfam family "Bacterial small subunit ribosomal RNA", at positions 1414 to 1533 of the family's 1533-position model. Lineage: Bacteria; Pseudomonadati; Pseudomonadota; Gammaproteobacteria; Moraxellales; Moraxellaceae. The record is from RNAcentral.
GGUGUACCUAAAGUCGAUAACCGCAAGGAGUCGCCUAGGGUAAAACUAGUAACUGGGGCUAAGUCGUAACAAGGUAGCCGUAUCGGAAGGUGCGGCUGGAAUACCUCCUUUUUAGAGCU